This is a long non-coding RNA of Theobroma cacao (cacao), 1337 nucleotides long. RefSeq lists it as uncharacterized. NCBI's taxonomy places the organism in Eukaryota, Viridiplantae, Streptophyta, Magnoliopsida, Malvales, Malvaceae. The record is from RefSeq and is a predicted model, not a curated record.
UCUGCUUGACGCUUUGAAACAAACACGAGAGAAGAGAGGCUGAGAAAGACGAUACUUCUCUUUAAUGGCGCUUUUGGAGCGACUAGCAAGAACUGCUCGGUCAUGGCGGAGGAUAGCCUCUCUUAAAACCCUAACCCCUUCACGUGCUCCAUCACGUGACGUACCUCCUCACUACUACCGCAAGUUUCUCUCUGUCUGUCUUAAUUUGAAAGAACAAUGUUCUGAUCGCAUUAUGAAAGUACAAAGUUGAAGAUUUGAAAUUGCUUUGGCUUUACUUUGCUAUUUUUAUUUUUACUUUUGUGAAAAUUCAUAUGUAGUUAGGAACAGAGGAAAACCACCUCUGUGGAGUUUAGUGUAAAACAGGGCAAAAUCUUCUUACAGAGUUCACUCCUAUAGUCGCUAAACCGAACCAAACCUAUCCCCUGUACAUCAAAAUCACAAGACUGCACAUCAACACUCUCCUAUACACAUGAAAUCCCAACCAACUGGUAAUAACCCAGAAAAUCCCAGCCCACAACCUGUACAAGGCAUAAAAAGAUCCACCAACCAGCUGGUACAAAAGAAAAACAAAAAGUUCCCCCCCUUAACCUGCAUAUACAACCAGAAGCCAUCAUCAACUGUGCUGUUUGGAGAUAGAUUUUGUCUUUGUUCAUAUGAUUGCUGCUUUUUUUUUUAAUUUAUACGCUGGUUGAGCGGUGGUUUAUUGAAGGUUUAAGGAUUCUUGCUGAUGCUUAGAUCAGGUUUCCUAGAAACUUUCUAACAAGGGGAAUGGGAGAUAGAGUGCUUAUGUCCUGUUGGGGUGCAUUUUCUUAUAAGGAUUCUUAUUAUUCGCUGUAUAGUUUUACAAGGUUUGCUUGGAGCUGGAGCUGGUUGGCAUGUAACUGGAGUGCUGCUAGGAACAACUUAUGAUGAUGAUGAGGAGUCUCAAAAGCUUGCCCUUUCUGAGUCUACUGGUUUGGAUCGGAAGCAAAUAAACAUCUGGUUCAUCAAUCAAAGAAAAAGGCACUGGAAGCCAUCUGAAGAUAUGCAGUUUGUGGUAAUCGAUGCCACCUAUCCACACUACUAUAUGGACAAUGUUUUGAGCAAUCCCUUCCCCACGGAACGCUCUCCCCACAUUUCUCUAAAAACAGAACCAUGGAUUCACCGCCGCCGCCCAGACAAGCUUGAAGGCCAACUGCAUUUGAUAUGCAAACUGUCAUAACUCAUAAUUAAUUUGAUGGAGUAUUUUUAUGCCAUAUUAUCAUAUGCAUACCUCCUGUAUGCACCUUGGGGCUAUUUAUUCUCCCCAUGUAUAAGUUCCAGACUGUUGAAAGUAUAUAAUAGUGUAUCUCUUUUCA